CACAGGAUUAAGAUCACAGACAACCCCCUGUGAUUAUUACAAAUGACUAGUGGUCACUAGGUAAUACUUAUCCAGAGCGAAUAGGGCUUUAGUGCCAGCACAUUAUUCGAAAGGACACACACACAC
Etheostoma spectabile (orangethroat darter) is the source of this 126-nucleotide long non-coding RNA. RefSeq lists it as uncharacterized. The record is from RefSeq and is a predicted model, not a curated record. The transcript is spliced from 3 exons. NCBI's taxonomy places the organism in Eukaryota, Metazoa, Chordata, Actinopteri, Perciformes, Percidae.